Molecule: ribosomal RNA, 378 nt
Filed under: uncultured Alphaproteobacteria bacterium
Lineage: Bacteria; Pseudomonadati; Pseudomonadota; Alphaproteobacteria
Description: bacterial SSU rRNA
Rfam family: Bacterial small subunit ribosomal RNA
Source: RNAcentral
UAGUGAGUUUGAUCCUGGCUCAGAACGAACGCUGGCGGCAGGCCUAACACAUGCAAGUCGAACGGGUCCUUCGGGACUAGUGGCGGACGGGUGAGUAACGCGUGGGAACGUGCCCUUUGGUUCGGAAUAGCCUCGGGAAACUGGGAGUAAUACCGAAUGUGCCCUUCGGGGGAAAGAUUUAUCGCCUUUAGAGCGGCCCGCGUCUGAUUAGCUAGUUGGUAAGGUAAAAGCUUACCAAGGCGACGAUCUUUAGCUGGUCUGAGAGGAUGAUCAGCCACACUGGGACUGAGAAACGGUCCAGACUCCUACGGGAGCAGCAGUGGGGAAUUUCCGCAAUGGGGCGAAAGCCUGACGGAGCAAUACCGCGUGAGGGAGGAA